CUGUAAGCGUAUACCAAAGUUGUUGCAGUUAAAACGCUCGUAGUCGGAAUUUGGCAGUUCCGGAUGUGUGCACGUCGUGUGCGCACUUCGCGGGGAUUGCUUUUGUGGUCUUGCGUAGGAUGAGGCACUUUUAUUAGUGAACGUCCUCACGCAACCACUUUUUACUGUGAGAAAAUCAGAGUGCUCAAAGCAGGCAUUUGCCGUGAAUGUAUUAGCAUGGAAUAAUAGAAUAGGACUUGGUUCUAUUUUGUUGGUUUGUUGGGACUGAGUAAUGAUUAAGAGGGACAGUUGGGGGCAUUUGUAGUUCGGUGCUAGAGGUGAAAUUCUUAGAUUACCGAAAGACAAACUGCUGCGAAAGCGUCUGCCAAGGAUGUUUUCAUUGA
RNAcentral lists this ribosomal RNA (383 nucleotides) under uncultured eukaryote. Its description in RNAcentral is "partial 18S ribosomal RNA". It matches the Rfam family "Eukaryotic small subunit ribosomal RNA", at positions 591 to 976 of the family's 1831-position model. The record is from RNAcentral.